UCUUCUGACAAUGUUGCUGUUGAUGUUUCUUUGACCACGUCUUUGUCGGAGUAGUUGUCGUCAUCUACUGAACACCUCUGUGUAAUUAGGAAGAAACGGUUAGAAAUCACGACGCUCUACAAUUAUUACUCAAAUACCACUUUCAGCCUCAGAUGACAACGUGGAAGAUUCAACAAAAAAAAAACUUGGAAUCACAUGAACUUACUGCUUCAAGCCAGUGUUGUAGAGCUAGUUUUUGAGCAUUCUCAUCCUUCGAUAAGCCUUUCCCGACCUAAACAAGGUACAACAUCAUCAAUGCCCUAAUUCCCACCAAGAAACAAAAGCCACAAUCAUACCAAAAAUCUACCUUUGCAGCUCGUGUCCUCGCCCGGGACCAGCGUGAUGUAGCGGUUUGUGUCUUUUCGACAUCGAAAAAUGACACAGAGCUUACCUUGAGAGCCGCGAAGUCCAAAGCUUUCCACCUUCAAAGUUUAAUGAACAGUGAGAAACAAAACACUGAAUUUCUGUAAGCCAUAAACUGAAAAGAGAAAUAGAAUUGUUUCACACCAUAGCUCCUCAACCACCACUGCACAAUCUGCCAGGUUCCUUCUGGUUCUGUAACUCUUAUAGACCUUUUGUAGCUUAGUUGCUGCAGAAUCCAGCUCACUGACUGGCUUAGUAAUGGAAGAAGAUAUAACGACCGGCUUGGGAAGUGAAAUUCUGGGUUUUCUCUGAUUCUCUGGCUGUCGAAUUUUUCUCCCAGAUGAAGGAAAACUCCUCUGGUCAACGACCAUAUUGUUGGAAGAAUUAGAAACUUGUUUUAGUUGCAGAUUCUGUAAUGUUGGUGGUUUUUCUGCUCUGAUUCUGCUACCACUUCCCUCUUCCUCUUUCAAGCUAGAUUCCUUGACAUUCAUCUCUCCACCCUGGCAAAAGGGUUUGAUUUUGCUGCUUAAAACAGGAAACAAAGAACCCAGAGGGAUUUCAACCUUAAAUGCUCCAAAAGAAUGAGUUUCUGACCUGAAAUCCUCAAAAGGGUUUCGAUGUUCUGUGUUGAGCUCCAAUGGAAGAUGAAGGAAGCCUUCUAUUGAUGUAUUUAAUGGAAACCUUGGGGGUGUUCUUUAAUGGCGCUGACGUUUUCUGGGUCAGCAGUCGCUAUCAUCAAACUGGGGAUUGUGGACUGAGACAAAAAGUCUUGCAUUGAUCUAAUUUACAGGACGUUGGUUUAUAAAAAAAGGUAAAUUUCCCAAGUUGUUGUUUAUAAUAAUAAUAUCCGACAGGAAAGCCAGAUAUGGAAGGUUUGCAGUGCAUGGCGGCGUCUGCUAGAGCUGCAGCUGCCAGCCAUUGUUGAAGAUGAAGGUCAGUUUUAAAUUCUAAGCUGUCUGCCUGCUUCAGAAGGCAGUUGAGAGUCCAUAAAAUCAUUUUGUUCUGGACUCACCUACCCACAAUAUUUAUCACCGGCUGCCAUUAUUGAAUUUGUUUUUUUGUUUUAAAAAAAUUAUGCAUCUUUCAAUCUCUUAUGUCUAAUUGGAUGGAAAUUUUAUUAAA
Molecule: long non-coding RNA, 1524 nt
Organism: Cucurbita maxima (winter squash)
Lineage: Eukaryota; Viridiplantae; Streptophyta; Magnoliopsida; Cucurbitales; Cucurbitaceae
Exons: 2
Source: RefSeq, a predicted model, not a curated record